AUUGAACGCUGGCGGCAGGCCUAACACAUGCAAGUCGAGCGGAUGAAGGGAGCUUGCUCCUGGAUUCAGCGGCGGACGGGUGUGUAAUGCCUAGGAAUCUGCCUGGUAGUGGGGGAUAACGUCCGGAAACGGGCGCUAAUACCGCAUACGUCCUGAGGGAGAAAGUGGGGGAUCUUCGGACCUCACGCUAUCAGAUGAGCCUAGAUCGGAUUAGCUAGUUGGUGGGGUAAAGGCCUACCAAGGCGACGAUCCGUAACUGGUCUGAGAGGAUGAUCAGUCACACUGGAACUGAGACACGGUCCAGACUCCUACGGGAGGCAGCAGUGGGGAAUAUUGGACAAUGGGCGAAAGCCUGAUCCAGCCAUGCCGCGUGUGUGAAGAAGGUCUUCGGAUUGUAAAGCACUUUAAGUUGGGAGGAAGGGCAGUAAGUUAAUACCUUGCUGUUUUGACGUUACCAACAGAAUAAGCACCGGCUAACUUCGUG
This 484-nucleotide ribosomal RNA is filed under the name uncultured bacterium. RNAcentral's name for it is "partial 16S ribosomal RNA". It matches the Rfam family "Bacterial small subunit ribosomal RNA", at positions 30 to 507 of the family's 1533-position model. The record is from RNAcentral.